UGGGGAAUAUUGCACAAUGGGCGAAAGCCUGAUGCAGCAACGCCGCGUGAGUGAUGAAGGUCUUCGGAUUGUAAAGCUCUGUCUUUUGGGACGAUAAUGACGGUACCAAAGGAGGAAGCCACGGCUAACUACGUGCCAGCAGCCGCGGUAAUACGUAGGUGGCGAGCGUUGUCCGGAUUUACUGGGCGUAAAGGGUGCGUAGGCGGAUGUUUAAGUGAGAUGUGAAAUACC
Molecule: ribosomal RNA, 231 nt
Filed under: uncultured bacterium
Lineage: Bacteria
Description: partial 16S ribosomal RNA
Rfam family: Bacterial small subunit ribosomal RNA
Source: RNAcentral